This is a long non-coding RNA of Peromyscus californicus insignis, 1319 nucleotides long. RefSeq lists it as uncharacterized. Lineage: Eukaryota; Metazoa; Chordata; Mammalia; Rodentia; Cricetidae. The transcript is spliced from 2 exons. The record is from RefSeq and is a predicted model, not a curated record.
GCCGCUAGUCUUUCCCGUGUGACUCCUUCACAAGCUGCUACCAUAGAACAGAAUACUAAUGGGCGGGCUACUACAUAGAUGCAGAGAAGCGCUCUGACGCCGUGGCAGAGCCACUGCAUGGAGAAUGUGCACCUUCCUGCUCAGACCAAGUGAAGGGACUGUUUAAAAGCAGCAAGUGGAGGCCGGGAAGACAGCACAGUCAGUAAAGUGACUGCCCUGAAAUUAUGAGGGCCUGAGUUCAGAUCCCAGCACCCAUCUAAAAAGCUGAGUGUGUACCUACAAUUCCAGCACUGAAGGCAGAUACAGGAGGAUCUCUAUGACAGACUAACCAGCGAACCUAACUGAAUGGUGAGCUCCAAGUGAAAAACUGUCUCAAAAAAUAAGGUGGAGGGCUGGAGAGAUGGCUCAGUGGUUAAGAACACUGUCUUCUCUUCCUGGGGACCCAGGUUCAGUUCCUAGUACCCACAUGGCAGCUCACAACCGUGUGUAACUCCAGUUCCAGGGAAUUGGAUUCUCUCUGUUGGCCUACUCUGACACCAGGCAUACAUGUGGUACACAGAUAUGUAAGCAGGCAAACACGCAUACACAUAAAAUAAAAAUGUUUUAAUAUUAAUUAAACAAAUGUUUUAAUUAAUUAAACAAAAAUAAGGUAGGAGAAAUGGCUCAGUAGUUAAGAGCAACUGCUGUGCAAGGCAUAAAGACCAAGUUCAGAUCCCAGUACACAUGUUAAAGUUAAGUAUGGUCCUGUGCCAUCCUGUAACCCCAGCCCUCAAAAGUGUAGAGACAGGAGGAUCACUGCGGUUAGGGGGCUGUCAGCCUAGUUGGAAAAUUACAGCGCUAAGUUCAUCAAGAUAUCCUGCCUCAAAGAACCAAGAUGGAAAGUAAUAGAGAAGAUACAUGGCACCUUCUGGCCUACACACACACACACACAGACACCUGUCCACACAUGUGCAUAUGCCACACGCAUCUCACACACAUAUACAUACAUGUGCACAUACACACAGAAUAAGGUGGAGAGUGAUUGAGGAAGACACUAGACACUUGCGAGACAGAGUUUCUCUAUGUAACAGUCUUGGCUGUCCUGGAUCUCACUAUGUAGACCAGACUGGCCUCGAACUCAGAGAUCCACCUGCCUCUGCCUCCCGAGUGCUGGGAUUAAAGGCAUGCGCCACCACUGCCCAGCAAUGUUAGACACUUUGAAGAUGUUAAUUUCUGACCUCCACAAACUCAGGCACACACAGUUGUACAUUCAUGGGACUGAAGGUUCACAUCAAUCUCAGGCUAGAAACAAACAAAAAAAGAAGGAGGAGGAGGAGGAG